AUGGGGUUAAUACAGCCUAGGAAGCCAGGGCAGGAAGGUGUGCAGGGGGCCAGGGGGCAGCAGACACCUCAGCCAAAAACAGACUGGGUGGGGAGGGAGGUCUGCUGGCAACCUUCCAGAAUGUGCACAGACCCUGAGGCAGCAGCCUGCCUCCCCUGCCUGGGGACUUACAUGGAAAGAGGGGAGAGUGGAAGGCAGCAGCCAGAGGUGGCCAGCCCGCCUAGGCGGGGCCUCAUAGUGGACUUGAACCCUGAGGGAAUGAGGCAGGUGGUCGGGGAGAGGCCCGGGGCUCUGCCAACUCAGAAUUCUAACAACCCUAGGGGGCGCUGUACGUCCAGGCUGGAGCUAGGGUACUUUCCAGAGGGCUUGAGUCUGAGUCCAGAGUCCUCGCCUCCCCAUCUGUCUUCCUGGUCACCACAGCCAGCUCGUCCUGCCCCCACCCGAGGCCAGCACGGGCACCCUCACCUCCACCCAGCUCCCCCAGCGCCCUCUGCCCACCAUCCCCGAGUGCUGUCUGUGAAUCUGUUGGAGGAGGGGGUCUAUCUCUCUGGGAAGCCACUGUGCAAGAUCGCGCGGACGCUGCCAAGUGUUUCGGCCCCGCCUCGCCCCCCCGCCCCCGUCCUGCACCGCGGCUCCCCACCAUCCGCAGGCUCCGAGCGCCCCCUGCUGACCACGGUCCCACCUGCAGCUCCACGCCCUGCAGAGAGCCGGCUACUGCAGGCAGCCUGGGAUCCGGGACGGGGCAUGGGGCAAUUCCCAGCGCUGGAGCGCCGCCUCGCCCUUCUCUCAACACCCUGUGACUCACAGAGAGCGGUUAGCCCUCCUCACCCCUCUUUUCCCUCAGGGAUCGGGGUGAUUGCCUGGCACACAGCUAUGGGGAAAGGGCCUGGAAGCAUUCUCCCGGGCCUGGGACCCUCCCGCAGGCUCCCUCGAUUUUGUGGGCAGCGGGUCCUCAGCCAUUGGCUGGGGGCUGCAAAAGCCCAGGCCCGCCCCCCUCCAGUCUAA
Molecule: long non-coding RNA, 1005 nt
Filed under: Oryctolagus cuniculus (rabbit)
Lineage: Eukaryota; Metazoa; Chordata; Mammalia; Lagomorpha; Leporidae
Description: lncRNA (ENSOCUG00000033769.1)
Source: RNAcentral